Molecule: long non-coding RNA, 225 nt
Filed under: Elaeis guineensis (African oil palm)
Lineage: Eukaryota; Viridiplantae; Streptophyta; Magnoliopsida; Arecales; Arecaceae
Description: long non-coding RNA (EGUI_LNC075351)
Source: RNAcentral
CGUUAUAAAAGUUCGUCCAGAAUCCAUCCGCUAUGGAAGUUUAGACGGAGUCCGAUUCUUGUAGAAGUCCGGAUGGGGACCGCUUAUUGAAGAAGCUCGGCUGAAGUCCGCCUGUAAUAGAAGUUCGAAAGGAAUUCGUUUACAGUAGAAGCUCGGAUGGAAUUCGCUUACAGUAGAGAUUCGGAGUAGACCGCUUGCAGUAAAAGUUUGGAGUAGACCGCUUGC